This is a long non-coding RNA of Pezoporus occidentalis (night parrot), 690 nucleotides long. RefSeq lists it as uncharacterized. The transcript is spliced from 3 exons. Lineage: Eukaryota; Metazoa; Chordata; Aves; Psittaciformes; Psittacidae. The record is from RefSeq and is a predicted model, not a curated record.
ACAGUCAUGGUUGUGAGACAAUAAACAGAGGGAAAACAGAACAAAAGAGGUCUGGGGAGGAACCACAGUUAAGAGGAGAAGAGCCAAGAGAAAUAGCCAAGAUCUAACUGCUUUGCCUAUAGUUUAUAUGUUGAAGGAAGAAAACAGAACAUAUUUAAUGGAACACAAGGAUGGAAGAAAAAGGGAAAUCUAGGGAAAAAUAUAAAGAAGAACUCACCUGAUCAGAUUAAACUGACAAUGAAGGCACAAUAAGGACAGAUUCUUUAUGCCUUACUCUGGGAAACUUUCCCUGUAAUGUUGCUUGUGAGUAGCAAACUUUUUUGUCACAGAGAUGAGUCAUAACCUGCAGAUCUAUUUUCAUAAAGAUGUUGUUGAUGGCUGAAAGUUGCAUGUUGAUGAACUUCCCAAGAGUGAUUCAUCUCAGCAGUUUAAAGAAGAAGUGAUUGCAGGUCUUACCUCCACAGACUGAUUCUCUGAUAUGUUCAGUGCCAUGCCAAAUCCUAAAUGAAGCAUAUCAGGACAUUUCUGUUUCUUCCAGCACACAAGCUGUAAUCUUUAGCACCUAUGAGUUUCCAAAGAUAUGCAAACAGUACAUAAUCACCACUCAGAGUCUGAUAAAUGCAUGUAUUAUAUCACCAUAAAUCAGGAUUCAAAUGCUAACCUCUAAUGGACUUGCUGAAAAGCUGUGUA